Molecule: transfer RNA, 90 nt
Filed under: Escherichia coli
Lineage: Bacteria; Pseudomonadati; Pseudomonadota; Gammaproteobacteria; Enterobacterales; Enterobacteriaceae
Also listed under: 1 other name
Description: tRNA-Val(gac)
Source: RNAcentral
GGGAACGGGGGUUGCGCAUUACCGCCAACGACAGUGGCGGUCUGUUCUCCCGGGAAUGGAUUGCCCUGAGUGCUAUAUCUGGCGUUCUGA